RNAcentral lists this ribosomal RNA (445 nucleotides) under Gobius niger (black goby). Its description in RNAcentral is "partial small subunit ribosomal RNA". It matches the Rfam family "Bacterial small subunit ribosomal RNA", at positions 7 to 794 of the family's 1533-position model. Lineage: Eukaryota; Metazoa; Chordata; Actinopteri; Gobiiformes; Gobiidae. The record is from RNAcentral.
CAAAAGCUUGGUCCUGACUUUACUGUCAGCUUUGAUUAAAUUUAUACAUGCAAGUCUCUGCGACCCUGUGAGAAUGCCCUACCUACCCCCCGCCCGGGGUAUAGGAGCCGGUAUCAGGCACAACCCUCGGUUGGCCCACAACACCUUGUUAAGCCACACCCCCAAGGGAAUCCAGCAGUAAUAAACAUUAAGCUAUAAGUGCAAGCUUGACUUAGUUAAUAUCAAGUAGGGCCGGUUAACUUCGUGCCAGCCACCGCGGUUAUACGAGGGACCCAAGUUGACAGAAACCGGCGUAAAGAGUGGUUAAUAUAAUAUAAACUAAAGCAAUACACCCUCAAAGCUGUUAUAAGCUCCCGAGGGCAGGAGUAGCUUUCACGAAAGUGGCUUUAAUCAAUAUGAAUCCACGAGAACUAGGGAACAAACUGGGAUUAGAUACCCCACUAUG